RNAcentral lists this ribosomal RNA (474 nucleotides) under Triticum aestivum (bread wheat). RNAcentral's name for it is "partial small subunit ribosomal RNA". Lineage: Eukaryota; Viridiplantae; Streptophyta; Magnoliopsida; Poales; Poaceae. The record is from RNAcentral.
AUGGUGGUGCAGUGCAGUGGAAAUGUCGUCCUGCCUCUAUCCAUUAUACUCCAUGUGAAGCCAACAAGCUCACUGCUCAGUUGGAACCAUCGAAUCUUUCCGUUGCAUAGAAUCGGUCACCAUCGAGCACCGCCUGCACAUAUGGACAAACAAACAAUGGUCCGUUUGAGAGAGAUUGUAUUAUUCAUCUUGGUGUCUCAGCCAUUCUUCUGCCCAUGUCUAAUAAAAAUAAGCAGCAGUUGUCUUGUAGUACGAAUCAAUUUAUGUGUCAAAAUGUGUGCUGUUUUGAGUUCAUAUGAGACUUUUCAAAACAUGGACACGAGAUCCUCAAACAAUGGAUAUUCUGGAGUUAAAUUCGUAUUUGCAGAGAAUGGGUUUCUACGGGCACCGGCCUUAAAUUUACGUGGAUGUGUAACAGGUCUUGUUUGGAGCCAGGUGUGGAAAUGUGGAUUUAUGUAUCUUAUACCUAAAUAA